Molecule: ribosomal RNA, 795 nt
Filed under: uncultured archaeon
Lineage: Archaea
Description: bacterial SSU rRNA
Rfam family: Archaeal small subunit ribosomal RNA
Source: RNAcentral
ACUGCUCAGUAACACGUGGAUAACCUGCCCUUGGGUCCGGCAUAACCCCGGGAAACUGGGGAUAAUUCCGGAUAACGCACAUAUGCUGGAAUGCUUUAUGCGUAAAAUGGAUUCGUCUGCCCAAGGAUGGGUCUGCGGCCUAUCAGGUAGUAGUGGGUGUAAUGUACCUACUAGCCAACAACGGGUACGGGUUGUGAGAGCAAGAGCCCGGAGAUGGAUUCUGAGACAUGAAUCCAGGCCCUACGGGGCGCAGCAGGCGCGAAAACUUUACAAUGCGGGAAACCGUGAUAAGGGGACACCGAGUGCCAGCAUCAUAUGCUGGCUGUCCAGGUGUGUAAAAUACACCUGUUAGCAAGGGCCGGGCAAGACCGGUGCCAGCCGCCGCGGUAACACCGGCGGCCCGAGUGGUGAUCGUGAUUAUUGGGUCUAAAGGGUCCGUAGCCGGUUUGGUCAGUCCUCCGGGAAAUCUGACGGCUUAACCGUUAGGCUUUCGGGGGGUACUGCCAGGCUUGGAACCGGGAGAGGUAAGAGGUACUACAGGGGUAGGAGUGAAAUCUUGUAAUCCCUGUGAGACCACCUGUGGCGAAGGCGUCUUACCAGAACGGGUUCGACGGUGAGGGACGAAAGCUGGGGGCACGAACCGGAUUAGAUACCCGGGUAGUCCCAGCCGUAACGAUGCUCGCUAGGUGUCAGGCAUGGCGCGACCGUGUCUGGUGCCGCAGGGAAGCCGUGAAGCGAGCCACCUGGGAAGUACGGCCGCAAGGCUGAAACUUAAAGGAAUUGGCGGGGGAGCAC